RNAcentral lists this long non-coding RNA (14546 nucleotides) under Xyrichtys novacula (pearly razorfish). The record is from RNAcentral. Lineage: Eukaryota; Metazoa; Chordata; Actinopteri; Labriformes; Labridae.
GUUGAGAUUUGUUUCCAAGAGAUUUCUGCAAGAGGAUCUUCACAUAAACCCACUUCUGCAGAGUUUUGAAAAACUUGUAAGGGGAAGCAAGAUGAAUACGCUUAAAAAAAAAAACUAAACUAAACUAAAACUCUGUCCUGUUUUUCUGAAUAAAUGAGAUAACCCGAGUGUUCCUUAAAAUCCCAGUGGGAGCUCAUAUAGGCCAGUAAUUUCAGGAUUUCGUUUUUAAGAGUUAUAUGGUGGCAUUAAAUCAUUUUAAAAUCAAUCAUCCAUGUCAACUUGUUUGUAUCUUUAUUGAAUUGAUAGGUGAUAAAUAAAGCUUGGUGUUAGUUACAGAAGUCAGAGGCUGCUGCUAGGAUCAGCUGAUACACUGCUAAUUGAAUUAUUCCCUUCAAUCACAGCCUGUUCUCAUAAAACAUUACAAUAGCUUUAUUUAUCCCUAUUUGGUCCAUUUAAACUUGUCUUCUCUCUCACUGAUCCAUGCUGCUGCUGGUUAUACCCUCUUGGGAGAAUCCAUAAAGCCAAAGCAAAAGCAGAGCCUUAAACUCAACCUUAUUUGAUGGCCUAACCCUAACCCUUUGUCCCAAACAUGCAGCAUUAUGAUUUAUACUGAUAAAGCAAACAGAACAUAAAGGUUAAUCUUCAUUUUACUGCCACAAAGAAAAAUAACGAUUUUUAGGAAAAGGUGGUUGCUGUACUCUGGGAGAGUUGGUUUCAAUCUGCAAAAACUCAGCUGAAGUGCUUCAUUAUAACUGCACAUCUUCAUAGCAGCUGCUUUGUCUGAUGUUUACUAAACCAGCCUCCAAUUUCACACGUCCGCACUCUUUAUCAAACCCAAAGACCUUUUAAAACUGCCACUCUGCUCGUUUUCAGUGGUGUUCUCAAUAAUCCAAACCGUAAAACCAACUGUACCCUGAUGAUACAACCUUCCAGUCAUGACUGAGCUCAGUUUGUGUUGUUACAAUACUCCUCUUUUUAGAUCUCACAGAAAUGAUUCUGUCACACUCUUUUUUUAAAAGAGUUCCCUGAGGAAAACCUGACAGCUCAUGAAUGGUCAGAGUGUCUCUGCUGGUUAAUAACUUGCUUUGAAAUUAUUUUACAAGAAAAAAAGGACCAUGUAAUUCAAAACAAGACAGCAAGCUCCUGUCUAAUGAAGGAAUGACCACUGUCUGAUGUGUCAAUCAUGAGCAUCCACUUCAGAAUUAAGGCGUGACAACCAGCCCCGGUCUCCCCUACACAGAGUGCUUUGAUUUCUACUCUCACUGAAAAUGGGCUGUGAAAUUAUCGCUGUUUGACUCUGACGCUGUCUGAAGAUAAAUCAGGAGUCUCGAUGACAAUGUCAGGACGUCUGUCUGCUGCUGGACCAACACUUCCGGCGAGAGGAGGCACGCGUCCAGCGGCAAAAUCAAGUUCUCAUUAAACCUCAACUAAAAACCAGGAAAUAUAGCUAUUGGAUUCUACAAAAUAAAAGCCCCAACCUCAGUGUGACCAGUCUAUCUCCCUCGUCAGCCUCCUCGUGGAUAAAAGGCUGAAAGAGUCCAAAUAUGCACGUAAUAGGCGUCAGGGGGAGCCCAGGAUGCAACUUUCGGCUUGUCAACCUCUCGUGAAAUUAGUGACCAAAAAGGUUAAUAGAGAUGCAAAACUGUCAAAAUUGCCCAAUGGUCUCACAAGUCAAAUCAUGUCAUCUGCUCUUAAAAGCAGAGGGACCUCUCAGUUCAAAUCCAACAUCCCUGGUGGUAACAUCUAUGUCAUAGGUAAAAAUCUACAAAUCUAUGAAGGCUCCAUUAAUGCUGAACAAUAUCUACAGGUUUAAGAGCAACAUCUGCUGACAUCCAGACAAAGACUUUUUUCAGGGAAGACCUUCAUAUUUAAGCAAGACAUUUACAAACCACAUUCUGACAACAGGGAUUACAACAGCAUGGCUUCAUUUUACAAUUUUUGUGAAUUCAAACGAGAAAUAUAAUAUCUCCAAAAAUUUCAGAAUCUGAAAAACCUUUUGUUUAAACUUACGAUGUAAACCUACUGCCUUUGUUCUAUUUUCAUUGGUUAUAUGUGGACAAAAAGCUCUGUUCAGGUUACAUAAAAUGCCGUCCUUUUAUAAUCUGUAUCGCUUUGACGCCUAAAAGUUGCUGUACGUGUUGUAAAAGUUUAUCUGAUCUAGUUUUAUUUUAUCUUUUGUGUCUUGUUAAACUGACACUGACGCCUCUGUUUUGCGCUUUUAUUUCGAAGAAAAUGACCGGAUGUUCUGUGUCUGGUCACAGUAGGUAGUUUGACACUGGUGCGUCCAGGCGGCGGAGGCACACACACAUAAGCUGUGCACACACAAAGAAAGGUAUCCAAUACUAAAUAUUUGCAUUACAGGUCAUACUAUUACAUCCUUAUACGUUAUAUUUGUCUUUUAGAUGAAGCUGGGACCAUGAACGUAUCCGUGUUGCCUUCAGGGGAGAAUUUAAGAGUCGGUCCAUCCUGUGACUGAGAUCAGCUGCAUGUCGACGGAUAUAGCUUUAAAAUUGCGAGGAAAACCUUUGAGCAAACGGCGUGUAGUGUUUGUUUGGACCCUAUCGGCUUUGGAGGGUUGGUUACUCUUUGACAUGGCUGUAAUUCCUCGCUGACUUCUUCAGGUGAAAGUUUCAUUCGCCUGAGAAAUUGUUGAGGCUCCCUGCCGACUGCGACAUCGCCCCGUCGGUGUAUUUCUGCUUUUCAAGUCCGACCUUUUCGCCUCGAUGCCGAGCAGAGGUCUAACUGUCUCGUGUUUCCCUCAGUGGUGUCAGGAGGCAGAACUAGGCCUUUAGCCGAACUAUUUCACCAAAUGAUUUCCUUUGUCGCAGCUCGGCAAGGCUAAAAAUAACGCCCGGCUGCAAACAUUAGCUGAGGUCAGAAUUAAGCGUUAUGAAAGAGGGAAAUGCUCCGCCGAUAAGACGGAUAAGUUCCCCAAAAACAUCAACACAUGAGGGAUUUAAACUGAUGGGUCCGGUUAACCCGGGUCAACAUCUUCUCCAGGCCUGGUUGUUAAAAUGACAGAAGCGUUUACGGAGUCCCUGACUGCAGGGGGAUCCGUGGUUACAGCAUAUAGCCGUAAACGUUCACAGAUAAGAGCGCGCAAGACUCCCUUUAAAUAUCCCAACAUUUCAACUUGAUCGCUAUUCGGUGUUAGUCUUUGCGUGAGAAAACGGGAGGUUUCAUUUUUAAAGAAUUGUACGGAUCCCGUCUUUAAUUCGGCUUACACCUGUACAACCAUACAGCUGUACAAUUCAACACAAUUUCAUUUAAAGUUCGGUUUCCACGACAGACCGCCAGUUGUUGUGAAUAACAUAAUCAGGCGUAAUUGCAGGAGUAAAAUACAUGCAAUUCUAAUGAUGCACCGUAAAGAUUUGUCACCAUCUGCUUUAACAUGCUCUCUCACCUAUUUUAAACGGUGUUAGGUCCAGGGCAAAGUUGGUUUAUCAUGAGUACUUCAUGUACAAGAUCAUGUUUUCUCCUCAGGCUCGGUAUGUCGGAUGAAGAUUCCCGUGCCAGCACCAGCUCUUCCUCCUCUUCAUCCUCAAAUCAUCAGCAGCAGCCUCAGCAUCAACAUCAAGACAGCAACUCCUCAAAGAAACGAGAGAGCAAAGUCAGCAUGAGCAAGACCUCCAAACUCCUCUCCACCAGUGCCAAAAGGUGAGCCAGGGGGUCAGGGAUCAAGUACAGCUGUUUCAAUUCAACAGCCACAGAUUAUGAAGAUAUGUAAAGGCAUAUUCCCAAUAUUUUAGUCACUUUUGGGGUAUUCAUCAUGUUUUUUUGGAGUUUGUCCUAAUUAUAGACAAGUUAAGGUACAUUAAACGCGAUUUAUUAAACAAAGAGGGACAUUGAGAGACCACCCCAAUCCAAACCAGGACUCUCAUUUAAAAAAGUUUAACAUUUUUCCUAAUUUAUGACAUUUUUGUGGCUAAAAGUGUUUCUGUUCAGACUUCCCUUUUUUCUGUUUGCUCUUCUCAUUCCUCUGUGAGGCUCUGAGUUUGGAUUUACAGUAUUUGAUCAGGGUUUAGCUUGUGAUGUGAUCUUGUUUGCUUUCGCAGAAUUCAAAAGGAACUGGCUGAUAUCACGUUGGAUCCGCCGCCAAACUGCAGGUGAGUGAAGGAUUGUGUAGCACGGUUCAGUGGCAACUUGUAAAAACAUGAGGAGAGACAUCCAGGUCAUGGAUAAGACGUGUUACAGAGGUGGUGUGGUUGUUUUUUUUUCUCGUCAGAUGAGUUGAUAAAGGCAGUCUACAUGUUGGGGAGCUCCUCUGUGUCUCUUUGCCGGGAUGAAGCGCAAUUUUUAUGCCUCACUGCUGUCAGUCUGUAGACUAUUUAGACUUUUCCAUUUAUUAGCUGUUAGAAAACCAACAUUUAAAUAAGUUUUAAAAUUGGGGCUCUGUUGGAUUUAAAUCUUUGACACAUUUUGGAGUCUUCAAUGAGCCAGAAGUUUAAGAUAUACUCCUGUAGACUCCUCAGUCUGAAACAGGUUGUGAUGCCUGCAACAAAUGUGUUUCAUCUUUUGAAGUCUAGUGGGAGUUUUUGGUUUACUGCUGAUAUUAUAAAAGACAGGACCCCAACAAAUGAGAUGUUUUUUGCAUUUGAAUGAACCUUUUUUAAUACCCACAUAACUAUGAGGCUUUGUUUGGGCUUAUUUAUGAGUUUAAAACAGAGUCAGAUGAUGAAAAAACAAACCUAAGUGUAUUCCAGGAUGCACCGAACCUCUUAAAAACCUGAAGUUUUGGGGCUAAGCUGCAUGUGUGAAUAGAGUAAGAUGAAACUUUCACCUUGACUCUUUUUUUCCUGCAAGGCCUUGAGUAAUUUUUUUCAAGAAUAUAAGGAGAGCAGAUACAGGAAAUAUUCAGGAAAAUCUGCCAAAAGUAGGCCAUGACAUUUGUAAUCAAGACAAGUGGAAACUGAAAAAGCAACACGCAGUUCUGGAGAAACACAAGCACUUGAGAACGGAGAGGGAGGAUGAUUUUCAAGAUGUGAAAAGUGGAGAUCUGCCUGUGUACAUGAGGCAAAAUGCAAUAAAGUGUCAUCACAGCAUGGAUAUAUGUGGCUUCAUUCACCAUCGUGCUGCAGACAGAACACUGGUUUUCACAGUCUGGGUUUGAUGUCACCUCCUGACUCCUGAGACUUACCUUAUGUCUCCCACCUACCACCCCUGUCUCCAAGCAGGACAGACUUCAUGCUGUGAUUGAAAUUUGUGAGCAGUGAAUUUAGAAAAAUUCUCGCAAAUUUCAGGUGUAAAUGUGUGAGAAGGAGGGUGUAACUGUUUAAGUUAGCUGUGGAGUAAACUCUGACCUGUCUAAUGAGGUGAAGUUGCCUUAUUUGUAGAUGGAGUUUGGUGGCUUUAAAGAGCGUGAUGUAAAUGUUUGUCAUGGUUUGAAAAAGGAGCGAUAAUCCUAACACUACACCUGGACAAACUUUGAUAGUGUGCAUUUACCUUUAGGCUUACAUUGCAUCCUUUACUGCCUCUCUCUCUCUCUGCUUGUACUGCAGAAACCCCAAAUUUUCCAACCAAUCACUCAGCCAGAGCUUUAAUUAUGCUGUCAAAUAAAACCCAGUUUAAAAAAAUGAGAACCUCAAUCUGCUUUCAAAUUAAUUCCUCUAUUUUUGCUCUUUAAUGGUGAGUCUUUUGAAGGAUUUGGCUGAGUAAUCAACCUAAAAACAUAUAUGUCUGCAGCAUCUUGGAGCAAAUAUCUGCUCGGCUUCACACUCUGGUUCACUUAUUCAUUCAGUAUGAAAUGCUGCACAUUUCUGAUAAAUUUGGUGUAUUUUCUUAUAAAAAAUCUGGUUUUGUGUGAGAAUAAGAUAAAAGUGGUCUGUGUUUGGAGGUUUAGUAAUCAGUUGUUUGUGCUGACAGUCAUGCUGAGUUAGAGACCACAUGUUGUGCUGAUGUUUUCACUCUGGUCAGACAGCUUUAUCACAGACCUGACUUCGAUAAAUCAGUGAUAUUUGAUGUGCCCGAUUUGGUCUGAUAGAGCUGUAAGUCAGCCAGCCUGGCAGGUUUAGACACAGAUCUCAUAAAAGGAUGAUCAGUGUGUGUGUGUGUGUGUGUGUGUGUGUGUGUGUGUGUGUGUGUGUGUGUGUGUGUGUGUGUUAUACAGAGUUGGGUGGUUUCCAGACUGUGAUACCCUUGAACCUCCUCCACAUUUAGCCGAGUUAUACAGUAUUACUGUGACUGAUUAAAAUCAUGCUGCUAGGCUUCAGAGGAGCCGACUGAAUUAUUUAAGCACGUAGUCAACAUACUGCCAACAUCAUACUGAAACAAUAACAACAGAAUAAAGGCCUCUGAUAUGAAGCACACUGGGCGUUACUUCACAUAUAAUCAGCGUUUGGGUUUGCUUUAAACUUUGAAAAAACUUCUGCUAGAGGAAGUGAGAGAAAAGAAACAAAAACCUCGUUUAGACCUGACUGAGCAAGUGUGUGAACAAAGCUGCAGACUCGGGUCUCUUUUAUAGAGUGAUGCUGUCUCAUGCAAACAGCUCCAGCAUUUGCUGCGUGUGCACCAUGUGAGCUCAUCUGCGGGUAUGGAUUUAUAAUCUGUGCCCACAGAUAUGCUCAGGCUCCUUUUCUCUUGACCAGGGGGGCUCUGCAGCAGUCAGCGGGUAAUUGAUCCUGAGAUAAUCCCCCCCAAAUCUGAAAUGUCCCCGUCUCCGGCUGCACUGUUUAAUGCAAGUUUUGCACACAGUCUUGUUUAGAUUUCACAAAUCUCUGUUUGUAUCAGUGUUGAAGGGCUUAUACUGUGUUAUUAAAGUGAAGCUGUUGGGAGGAUUUGUUGACACACCUUCUGCUCCUCUCAGGGGCAGGCAGGAUUUUGAUCAGAGUGAGGUGAAAUUAAACAAUUCAGAGAGAUGGCGUGAACCCUCUGUCGGUCUUUGCACGUGUAUUUGUGUGAGAGCUGAUAUUCACACACUUGAGAAAGCACAGAUUUACAUAACUAAGUGAAGAAAUGAGGACGUGGUGCAACAGGUGUUUCUACCUCUUGCACAGGAGAAGAGAAACCUUCUGACACCUGAACAUCUGCAGCAUCUAUUUUUAGCCUGUUUGCUGUUUGGGACUAACUUCAUCGUUAGUCUAAUUGAGCUGUACAAGUGUGCAAACGUGUCUGUGUGUUUGUUUAUGAGGCGACACCCAAGUCAAAGAGACUCCCUUUUCACCUGAUCAAGUCAACCAAAGGAGGGAGAGCUUCAGGGCUGACACAGACGCCUCCUCCUGUGUGUGUAGUGGCCGCACCCUGAGUGAUUGAUCACUGUGUCUGAGUGUGGAGAAAGGCCUCAUCACUUCAUUUUGUCCUCCUCCGCUCGGCGUGAAACCCUCCAUUCAGCAGCACGUGCAGAGAGGGUGGAUUUUUACAGGAUUUGGCGUCUUUCUGCUUCAUUUAGCACAGAAUCUGCUCAUUAGGGUAUGAAUGGAGCCGGCCUGCUUCGCCUUGCAGAUGCUGUUUAAUGGAUUACACAUCGAUGAGUCAGUUAGUUGUCGUCUCAUUCCUCUCGGGCUUCUUUCCGCUCUUAAAAAGGACACUGAGUGAUGAAGAAAAGACUUAUCCUGACUCGUUUCCAUUAUCAUCAGCGCCUCUCAGGGAGCAAACUUUGUUUUAUGAGCACUAAAAGCCAAAGAGUCUUUCAUCUGUCAUUUAUCAAAAUCUAAUUAUACUCCUCACCGGGAACGCCGAGCAGGGCCCUCUCUUUUUUUUUUUUUCUGUUCCUCUUCAGCCUCGUUGCCACUCAAGUGUGAACUGCAGACAUCACAGGCCUCCCCCUCCCCUCCUGUCCCCUCCCUUAUGCUGUGAUUCUGUUAUUCUCCAUGUUUUAUUCUCUUUUCCCCUCAACCAGCCGUUAAAUUUAUUGCCGCCAUCCUGACACUUUACUCUCGUCGUCUUUCUCUCCUUCUCGCUGUCGGUCACUAUCGCUCCUCUUCUGAUGAUGCCUUUGGGUGUCAGACAGAUUCCUGACAUUCCAGUAUUGUACUCAUGACAGCUAAAGAAAAGAGAAUGGUGCAAUUAGUGCGAAGUAUGUUUGGACAUGAAGACCAUUGUUGAUAUUGUUUAGCUCGAUACUUUGGUUCAGUCCGGACUUGGCCCAGAGGGAGCCACAUCUACCCGGGACAAUGAGAUGUUUACUGUUGCUCUUUCUUCCAGUUUUUAUUUUUUUCCUUUCACUCAUGACAUCCACCUUCUCCUCACCUCCUUCCUGCAUAAACAAUGCUCUGCCGCGGGUACGAGUGUUUACUCUGCUUUUGUCGUCAUGCUGUGCGAGCCAAAGGCUGACAGGCUGUUGUUGCUGUUAUUGUUGUGUGAAAGAUAGUCGGUUUUAUCCAUAUUUGCUCAAAAUGUUGACAUUUAUCUUGGUUUACCACAUAAUUUUCUCCCUUUUAAAAAGUGGUUUUAUGGAUCUUUAAAGACUCUCAAAUGUGAUGUGGUGUGGUGGUAUAUCAGUCUUUGCAUGUGUGAGCGUGUUCAGCGGGACUCUGGCAGGCGUGGUGUGAGCCAUCUGAGUUGCAUGUGACCCUCCUGCUCAGUUGCUGGUGUUGGCAGCGGUCUCUCCCCUCACACACACACACACACACACACACAUCUCUGCAGUGUGUUACUGUCCUGCAUGUGUGAGAUUACUGAGGUUUUCUCUGCAGCUCCUUGGUGUCUAAAAAAAGCCCGCUCCCUGGAGAGGAAGCGGCUGGCCUGUGUGUCGUUGUUGUUGCUUCAGAAACUCCUGGAAGCAGCACUGAGCUGCAGAGGUGGAAGUUUCCCGUCUGCGUGCCAGGCUUCAGAGAGGAAGUGGCGGUUUUCAUUUUAUCUCCAAUCAGCAGCAGGUAUCUUCAUCUAAAUGCUUUGGGUGUUUUUUGUUGACUGAAGUUGUCAAUUUCAUGAAAGUUUUAAACCAGAAGCUGUGACUGAGUUAGAUAAAGUGAAGAGAAGGAGCGUUCCUAAAAGAGAAUGAAACUUCAAAACUGAGAAAUGUUUCUUUUUGUGUCAGAAAUCCUUCAGCAGGUUCAAACAUGAGCCUGCCUCUCUCUCUCCAUCUUUAAACUACUGCAGCCUCACAGAUAAAUCUCAGCUACUUCACUCAGCUAAAGCCAAAUUAUUCGCUUGCUGGCCGUCAGCGGAGUGAGUAUCCUCUGACACUCAGCUGUUAUAUUUGGUUCAUGCACAGUGAAGAUUUAUAUAUCUCUUUCAAGGACGCCAAAUUUACUUCGACUUAAGUCAGCACAAGAGACGGCUCUAACAGCAGGAGAAAGUAAUCUAAACAGCGUAAAGUGAGAAUCUUUGAAACCCAGGAUUUCAGAGCCUGCAGAGUCUGUGUGGUAUUGGUCUUGUGAGGACCGUUAAUCAGUCUGUCUCUGGUCUACAUAAAACUUUAUCUCCAUUUUCUAGAUCCACAUCCUGACAAACCACACGUGCUUGUUCCAUCCUGGUAGUAGAGCGUUGCAGCGGUCUGGUUUUUAGUGAACUGGUGCAUCAGAGGAAGACUGCACCACAUUGAGGCAUGAACACAUGAGCAGCAUUUAGGGCUUCGACUAAAAAACACGUUAGGAGUUUGUGGACCUGCUUUGAGCUGACUGGUGAGAAUGAUGGUGUUACAUAGUUUAGUUUCAGACCAUAGACCAGGCAUGUCCAAACUACUCCACAAAGGGCCGGUGUAGCUGCAGGUUUUUCUCCCAACCAAGCAGCAGCACACCAGACUUGAUUCAUUUCUUUAGCUGAUCUCAGUCUUCAGACGGCUGAUUGGUCAGACUGCGUGCUCGUGAUUGGUUGGAAGAAAAACCUGCAGCCACACCGGCCUUUUGUGGAGUAGUUUGGACAUGCCUGCCAUAGACUGUAUAUAGAAUGGACAGAGUCUGCCUGCUAGCACAGCACCCUCUGGUGACGGGCUGCAGUAUACGUCAUAAAUCCCACCUCCUCCAGCAAUCCCUAUGGAGCUGUGGACAAACUUUAGAAAUUAAUUACACAGAAUAUACAUUUUUCUCCCCCCUGGUUGCGAUGUUGACAUGUAGUUACUGUAAGACUGGUUUGUGAUCAAGUCCUCUUUCCUUCUGCGCAGCUCAUUUUAAAAGUUAUUAGGGGGUUCAUGUUUUCUAUGAUUGACCAACGUGUGAUACAACCCUGAGUUUUCUCCUCCUCCUUUUUGUUAUACACAGAGAAAUGCAGGUGCUACAGCAGCUUCUAAACUCAACAAACCAAAUCUCCAAAUGACCCUUGAGAGUGAAUUAUUUACAAGGUUUUUACUGUCAGUGAAAUUACCCACAGAGGCCUCCUCCUCUCAGGAACCAGCAGACUCCCAGAUCAUAAGCUGCUGGAAACGCUGUGAAGUGUUUGUGUCAUUAAAAAGAAAAAAGAUCAUCUUGGUGUGAUCAAACAUCUUUCCAAAACCAGUGAAAUGAACACUGCAGCUGCUUGCAGCCUAAAAUCAAGUUAAUUGAAUGCGAGUAUUUUUAAACACUCUUUAGCUUCACGUCACAAACAUUUGGUUCAGUCUGUAUCAAUAUUAAAAGUCAGUCUGUUAUUAAUGUCACGGUGUGGAUUUCAUCAAUUUAAGCAGAAAAUAAAAGAGCUUUAUUUGGAGAACAGUAUCAGAUAUUCACCCCCUCAGUCCUCAUAAAGCACCCAGAACAUUUACAGUCUGAUUGCUAUUGUCUUAAAUUGGCAGAGUGGGAAGAGGUGUGUGUGCGUGCGUGCGUGUGUGCGUGCGCAGUUUCAUCGAGCGCUCUCCGGUGAAGUGGAAUCAUCACAUUGUCUUCAUCAGGCAGCUUAUUACAGUGUUCCUCCUCCUCCUCAUCAUCAUGGGGACACUGUUGUGAGCAGGUAGUGGUGACUGAGAAGAAAGCUCAGUGUGUGCAGAUAUGUGUGUGGAGGUGAGACGAUGGAGUAAGUAGUUUCAUCUGGUAUUUAGUCAUUAUAAAUGAGGAUGUUACAGCAGAAGUCUGACUAGAAAUGUUGGUGAGCUUUGGUUUGAGACAUGGAGCAGAGGUGCUGCAUCAGGUGGUUAGUAGAGGGUUAGAGCCUAUGGCGGAAAGUGGCCUUGAAAGUGAGCAUGAACACCACACAGAAGAACACAGCUGCCAACAAACCAUGUUAUCAUCUCAUUGUGUUCAGAGGGUCUCUCGUGGUUGUGUGCAGUCUACUCCAGACCUUGGUCUCCUGUUUCUGUGCCGAGCUGCUGCAGUCAGUUUUGGGUAAACCGCCGCGCUCCUCUCUGAAAGGUUAGCAGCUCUGAAAAAAUGCUCAAAUGUCAGCACUCUUGUUGCAGAGCGAGUGUACAGAGGUCGUAGCAGAAGCCCCCCCAAACCUCCCCCCUCCCCCCCUCUCAGAUAUUGGAGUGAGUGACAACAGUGAUAGCAUGGCGUAUUUUUCUGCCUCAUACAAAGCACUGGGAGGUCUUUGUGUGCGUGGAGGCAGGCGGGGAGGAAGCCAGGCGCUCUCUGUGGCUCGCCUGUGGAUGUGAGACGCCUCUGUUGUCAGGCGACAGAAACCUCAGUCUGGUUGAUUCAGAGGGAAAUGAUACAUGAUCUGUUCUGAGCUCAGCAGCAGGUCCUGCAUGAGGCUCUGUGGUGGGACCAACAUAUUAGGAGUCCCCGUCCAGGGCUGAGGUGCACCACAGGAAUGCUGGUACCUCUGUCUUAAUAAAGUGGCUUUGACUAAAGACUGUGUGGUGUUUUUGUUCUGCAGGACGCUCUCUUGAAUUAUGAUACCUUUGGAUGGACUUGGUUUCAUCUGGGAGCUCAAUCUCAGGCUUUUGGGCUUUUUAAAGAAGUAAAAAGUGUGCGCUCCGAAAUGAGUUGAACUAAGUCCUAACUCUGAAUGUCUCUUUAAGGAAGCAGAGCAGACUCAGGUGGGUUUUCUCUCGCCUCUCUGUAUAUUUCUGCCGUCUCUCCCUAAGGUGAUAAAGUGCAGACAGUUUGUCUCAGAGUGUGAGAUUAUCAGCUGACAUUUCCCUCUCCUGUCAGGACUCAAAGCAAACAGAAAACAGAGGCUACUCACUAUAACAGGAGUGACUGCAGGUCAGAGUUACACUGUGAGUGACUCUGUCAGCUCCUGUGUCUGAAUAAUAGAUUCUUUCUGUUUGUUUGUUUGAAACACUCACAUUAUAUCUGAGCAGAUUGCUGUGUUUUCCAGAGUUUCAUCAGUCAAACAUGCUUUAAGAGCUCUACUUAUUUUCAAAUGAAAUGGCAAACUGAAGAGCGUCGUUCGGAGCGCUUCAUCAGGCACUCAAUUAUGUGAAAACAUCUCCAGCGUCGGCGCUCAGACUGAAGCUGCUGUUGACUCUCUGAGCUGCUUCUGUUGCUGCUGCUGCUGCUGUUGGAUUGUGUCUCUUUUUACUCUUCAGUUUAAUCUCCACAGGAAAAUAAAGUCCUGUUGAUCUGUUUCCUUUGAGCACUUCGCUCUCUGUUCACAUAAUGACUCGCACGGGUAACGGCGCUGCGUUUUUUUAAUGAAUUACAAACGAGGAGACUAUGGUUAUUAGAUUUCAGGCAGCAUCAUCAGAAAGAGUCUAAAUUUAGAGCCUUUUAGUCAUUAAGUAAAAGUGGAACAGCAAAAUUAACCUCAGCACACUUAAGAUAAACAAUUCAGUGUUGAAAGAUGAAGGCCAGAUCAGUGGAUGAAGGAAGAGUCUGAAUAAAGCAGGACAGAAGCUCUUGGAGCUACAAAUAGAGCUGAGUGUGCAGUGAAGUUUGUGGACAGAGUCUCUCCCGUGCACCUGCUCAAGUUUUUAAAACAAUCGUAUAAUUUGGUGUAUUGACCCUUUAUUACCUGAUUCCUUACUGUUGUCUCCCCCAUUGUUAUUCUUUUACUUCAUUGUGCCUGACUGCCUCUGUUUAAAGUUUUCAAUCAUAUGAAAUCAAACUGCUGCAGGAUUGAUUCAUCUCCUCCCUCCUUUUUUUAUUUCUCUGCUUGUAAAAAGUCCUAAAGCGAAUCAAAUCUAUAUUAUUGAAUCAAGCUGCAGUCUCUUUGUUUCUCUCUUUGUAACUCUAUGGCUUUGAAUAGGCUCCAUAUUAUCAUAAUUAUGUGCUUGUUCUGCUGUCUGCCUCCAUUUUUCGUAUUGGCUUUUGAUUAUUUGAUUGCCUUAGCACUUAAUGCUGCCACCUAAAAGAAAAACAUCAGUGUAAUUAAGAGCGAAACCAGCUAAUACCUUCAGAUAAUAGAGCCAGCAUUAGUGAAAAUCAUCUAUAAAUUAAUGUCUUGUUUGAAAGCUGCACUCUGCUUUUAUUGCACCUGAUUUUAAUAAAUAAUUCUUGUUAUUAGCGCCGGUCCUAAAGGAGACAACAUCUAUGAGUGGAGGUCGACCAUCCUGGGCCCUCCAGGCUCUGUGUACGAGGGAGGAGUCUUCUUCCUGGACAUCGCCUUCACACCAGACUACCCCUUCAAACCACCCAAGGUGAGUCUCUGCACAGCUGUCAGCAUCCUGCAGAGUCUGUGCUGAGAGGCGUCAAACACAUGGCUCUAUUUUAAAGGGCUGUUGUUUCUGUGUUUGUCACUAGAGGGAGCUCUUGCACUUGUUAAUGCAGCUCAUGAUCUUGGUGACAACAGGAUCCUUUAAUCAGCAAUUCUCCUCUCCUAUAAGAAGCAGAUUCUACAUCCACAAAGCUGCAGAGUAUUAACCUGUUUUUCUUUGUGUGUGUGUUCAGGUGACGUUUCGUACGAGGAUCUACCACUGUAACAUCAACAGUCAGGGGGUGAUCUGUCUGGACAUCCUCAAGGACAACUGGAGUCCUGCCCUCACCAUCUCCAAGGUCCUGCUGUCCAUCUGCUCCCUGCUCACUGACUGCAACCCUGGUGAGAGCUGCAGACCACAAUCACACACAUUCCUGUUUCAUUUCAAAACUGUAACAGAGUGAAGAGCAUUUCCAGGAUUUACGUGAACUUUUAAGAUUGUGUGGAUCUGUGCUUGAUUAAUACUGAGAUGAUAAAACAGUCGAUCAUGGUUACAUUUUUCUGAGCUCUGAUGUUUGAUUUUUCGUUUCCUUUACCAGCUGACCCUCUGGUUGGAAGCAUCGCCACACAGUACACAACAAACAGACCCGAACACGACAGGAUAGCCAAACAGUGGACCAAACGCUACGCCACAUAAUCACCUGAGGGGCUGCUGCUGGUUUGACGACUCGGGGAUGAAGGGCAGGGGAGGGUCGACUCGGGGAGGUGGGGCAGGUAGAGGGGCGGGUGGAUUUUUAUCUCUGAAUUGAAGAAGUCUUAACUCCUGAUAUUUUGUUGUUUAUUGUAUUUUUUAAGUUAUCUGCGGCCCAAUUAUAAUCAAACCUGGCAAUAAUGCAUUUAGUGUUUUCUCUUUGAAUUUUUAGCUUGUGCUUGAAGAUGGACAUUAAUACUAAACUGCUAGAUUGAUCGUGUCUCAGCAUGAUUCCCAGUCGGUGUAAACUCUCACAUGUAUUCAUUUGCAGUUGGUGUUUGCUUCCCCCUCCAGACUCUGCUCUUUGAACAGGUGUUUCACACAUGUAGACAUGCUUAGAUAUGGAUGGAUAUUGGUUGUGAUUUGUGUUCCGUACUGAUGAAAAGCUGUUCUGUUUCUCCCUUACGAAUAAACAUGACCAACUGAA